GCAAGUCGAACGGGCUAUAUUUUUUACCUUGCUAAAAAAUAUAACUAGUGGCAGACGGGUUAGUAAUACAUGGGAAUCUACCUAAAAGUCCGGGAUAACUACUAGAAAUAGUAGCUAAUACCAGAUAUACCCUGAGGGGGAAAGGUUCACUGCUUAUAGAUAGCUCAUGUUAGAUUAGUUUGUUGGUGGGGUAAUGGCCUACCAAGACGAUGAUCUAUAGUUGGUCUGAGAGGAUGAUC
RNAcentral lists this ribosomal RNA (239 nucleotides) under uncultured bacterium. RNAcentral's name for it is "partial 16S ribosomal RNA". It matches the Rfam family "Bacterial small subunit ribosomal RNA", at positions 57 to 305 of the family's 1533-position model. The record is from RNAcentral.